GCGUAAAUACGCGGAAAAACGGUCUUCUGAGCACUUGACUUUUAAUCAAGUUGUCCGGGGUUCGAAUCCCCGCACGCU
RNAcentral lists this transfer RNA (78 nucleotides) under Candidatus Mediterraneibacter faecavium. Its description in RNAcentral is "tRNA-Ser". It matches the Rfam family "tRNA". Rfam says of the family: Transfer RNA (tRNA) molecules are approximately 80 nucleotides in length. Their secondary structure includes four short double-helical elements and three loops (D, anti-codon, and T loops). The record is from RNAcentral. Lineage: Bacteria; Bacillati; Bacillota; Clostridia; Lachnospirales; Lachnospiraceae.